Molecule: ribosomal RNA, 497 nt
Filed under: uncultured bacterium
Lineage: Bacteria
Description: partial 16S ribosomal RNA
Rfam family: Bacterial small subunit ribosomal RNA
Source: RNAcentral
GGGGGGGGGGGGGGGGGGGGCGGGGGGGGGGAAGGCGGGCGGGCGGGCGGGGAGCUGGCGGCUCUGAGGUUAGCGGCGGGCGGGGGAGUAACACGGGGAUAACCUACCUAUCAGACUGGGAUAACGUCGGGAAACCGGAGCUAAUGCCGGAUAAUAUUUUGAACCGCAUGGUUCACAAGUGAAAGACGGUCUUGCUGUCACUUAUAGAUGGAUCCGCGCUGCAUUAGCUAGUUGGUAAGGUAACGGCUUACCAAGGCAACGAUGCAUAGCCGACCUGAGAGGGUGAUCGGCCACACUGGAACUGAGACACGGUCCAGACUCCUACGGGAGGCAGCAGUAGGGAAUCUUCCGCAAUGGGCGAAAGCCUGACGGAGCAACGCCGCGUGAGUGAUGAAGGUCUUCGGAUCGUAAAACUCUGUUAUUAGGGAAGAACAUAUGUGUAAGUAACUGUGCACAUCUUGACGGUACCUAAUCAGAAAGCCACGGCUAACUACGUG